Molecule: transfer RNA, 64 nt
Filed under: Deielia phaon
Lineage: Eukaryota; Metazoa; Arthropoda; Insecta; Odonata; Libellulidae
Description: tRNA-His
Source: RNAcentral
ACCUGAAUAGUUUAAUUAAAAUUUUGAUUUGUGGUGUCAAAGAUGUACUAUUGUACUUUAGGUC